Long non-coding RNA from Gasterosteus aculeatus aculeatus (three-spined stickleback), 3679 nucleotides. NCBI's taxonomy places the organism in Eukaryota, Metazoa, Chordata, Actinopteri, Perciformes, Gasterosteidae. The record is from Ensembl.
CCUGUAUGCAACCUCAAGGGGCAAAUGAAGACACUUCAAAGGAUCAAUGAUUCCGCCUGUCGCAAUCUGGGCCUCUAGUAAACGGAUGCCAUGCUGCUUGACAAUUAGAUCUUUCUGCAGGGCUUGGAAAAGUGAGAUCUUUUGACCAGUGUAUGGAUCUGUGUAACCGGUGACGGCCCUCUCUGCAGACAAAAGCUUUUCUUGCAUCUGUGGACCAACUACCUUCUCUCUGAGAGCUUGUUCCACCGUAAGCUUCUUGUUUUUCAGAGGAUCAACAAUGAAUCCUGUGGCAGCUUGCGCUUCAAGAAGGCAGAAGGCUGUGCCAGGUGUGAGGAUGCCAAUUCUCUGUGCCUCGUAGAUGCUUAGCUUCUGAUUUGAGGGUUGAAGUAUCACACCAGCCACGCAACCUGUCCCCUGCAGGUAGGUUCUCACGCUCCCCAUUUUCAUCAGAUCUGUGCUGGUCAUCUUUCCAUCAACCAUGCUGUUGUAUGUUCUUUCAUCCACAAUGCUAAGCUGCAAAAGAUCCUUAACAGAGACUUCUCCUCUGAGACCAGCAAAGCUCAGCUCUGCUUGUUGUUGAAUCUCCUUGCUCUCAAUGAUUUCUAAAAUGGCGACGAUGAGCUGCUCAAUUGUGAUUUUCCUUGACUUGAAGAGUUUGAAAAACUCCUGUCUUUUGUCCUCCGUCACAUACUCUGAAUUAAUAAGAUCCCACAUUGUUGUGUGUUUGCCCUUGAACCUGCCAUACUUAACAGUAACUGUGGUUGUUUUCAACGUUUCCUUAAUAUUAUCAUCAAUGUUAACUCUGCUGCUUUUGCCUUUGAGUGGCAAGAGGCACAGCCCUGUGGCGGGGUCUCUGACACAUCUGGCCAUGAGCUGCAAGUAUGUCAGGUUCUCACGGGUGUUGGGAUCAAAGAAUCCUUUGGUGUCAUCACUUGCAUCACUCAGGAUCUCAUUCAUUUCCUCAUCAAAGUAUCCCUUCUUAUAGGCCACGUGUACAGGAAUGCGAUGGCUGUUUACUGGAUCAAUAAUACCACCAGUGGCAAUCUGUGCCUCCAGAAGUCGAAUUCCAUGGUCUUUUAGGAUGAGAUCCUUUUGCAUGGCUUGGAACAAGGAUAUGAUUUGGCCAUCAUAUGGAUUUCUGUACCCGAUGACCGCUUUCUCUGCUGAGCGCAACUUUUGACACACAUCGGGACCCACUAUCUUUGCUUUGACUGCAUCAUCCACUGAAUACUUCUGAUUUCCAACAGGGUCGAUUAUGAAACCUGUUGCUGCCUGUGCCUCUAGUAGAAUCAGAGCCGUUCCUGGCAUCAGCUUCCCUUUUUGUUUGGCCUGGUAGAUGGUCAUGAUCCGAGAAUCAGGAAGCAGAAUUCCUGCAAUGCUGUCUUUCCCCUGUCAUUUUAGUUUGCCAGUCAAUGAAGUUGAAAUUCUGCUCGUUGGAUUUCCCAAAGAGUGGGAGGAGACACAGUCCAGUGCUGGGAUCAAUGACGCACCUUUGCAUCAGCUGAAGGUAAGUUAGAUUAUCUUCUGUGUUUGGGUCAAAGAAACCCUUUGUGUCGUCCCCCGAAUCCUCUAGGAUGGCGUUCAUUUCUUGAUCAAAAUAACCUUUCUUGAAGGCAACUUCUGUUGGUAGUCUGUGACUGUUGAUAGGGUCUAUUAUUCCACCCGUGGCAAUUUGGGCCUCAAGUAGGCGGAUCGCAUGUUCUUUAACAAUGAGGUCUUUCGACAGUGCUUGAAACAGGGAUAUGGUUUCCCCUGUGUAUGGGUCUUUGUAGCCAGUCACUGCUCGCUCAGCAGAACGCAGCUUUGUAUGAUAUUCAGGGCCAACAAGUUUGUUUUUGAUUGCCUCAUCCACGGUGAACGUCUUAUUUUCCACAGGAUCAAUCAUGAAUCCAGUUGAAGCUUGCGCCUCCAGUAGAAUCAGGGCUGUUCCUGGCAUCAGUACACCUUUUCUCAUGGCUUCAUAAAUGCUCAUUCUCUGAUUGGAUGAGAGUAGAGCAAUGCCUGCAAUACUUCCUUUGCCUUGCAGGUAGUCUUUUACUGUUUCCAUCAACAUCACAUCCUGUGUAGUGGUAUUUCCCUUCUGUAGGUCAUCAAAUGUUUUCAUGUCAAUGAUCUUUGAUUCAAGGAGCUGAUUGGAGGAAAUCCCUUUUCGCAAGCCUUUGAACGUGACGGAAACAGGAAGGAGCCGCAGGCCUGUGUCAGACUCCAAAGUGCAUUUCUCAAGGAGGUUUCGGUAGUUGAGAUGUUUUUGUAGGCUUGGACUGUAGUACACUUUGAGCUCCGGCAUCUUGUCAUUGAGCAAACCCUUUUCAUAGAAGCCUUUUUCAAUCGCAGAUUCAACUGAAAUAUUUGAUUUCUCAAUGGGAUCAAACAGGCCUUUUGUGGUGAUCUGUGCUUCCAGAAGCCUCAAUCCAUACUCUCUGGGGACUAAAUCUUUUUGCACAGCUUGGUACAAGGAUAUCAUUUGGUCGGUGUAUGGGUCUACAUAGCCAUUAACAGCUUUCUCGGCUGUGAGGAGUUUCUCUUUCAUCUCCGGUCCAACUAUUCCCUCCGUAACAGCAUCAGCAACACGAAGGGUUCGAUUGUUUAUUGGGUCGACGAUGCCCACUGUGGCAGCUUGUGCCUCCAGCAGGGCCACUGCUGUUCCUGGCUGAAGAAGACGUUUCUUCAUUGCUUGAUAUAUGGUAAUCUUCUCCUUUUUUUUCUCCAGAAACACACCAGCCACAGGUCCGUGGACCUCCGUGUGGCCAUUUUUCUGUGAAUCCAUGUUGUCCUAUAGAGCUGUAUGACAAAAAACUGUUGCUUGAAUUGGUUUUAGAUAAUGCAUGCAUUGUCUAUACAUAACAUUAAUAAUAUGUCGUGGCCUCUAUAACGUUUCAUAGACAGAUGUGGACAGAUGAUAGCUCUGUACAGUGUUGGAAAAAUAUAGUUAUAUCAUGGUGUUAUUUAUGUUGCUAUUGAAUACAUUUGCACUGAGAGGUGCUGCCAUUUUCUCAAAUGAAAAGAUUCCAAGCUUGUAUUGUUUGUCUAAGAAUUUGCAUUUUGUACUGUUUGUUAUAUAAAGUAUGGAAGCCCAUUUCCGCCACAAAAAACAACAACAAAAAAACAAAUGAGAUAAAAAGUCAACUUAAGACUUAAGAAAGUCGAAAUUAUGAGAUAAAAAGUCGAAAUUAUGACUUGGUUGGUGACUACGGUCUACGGUCAAUUUAACAACCUCUCGCUGACCAGUUAUUAUUUUGAUUUUUUUUGUGGCGGAAAUGGGCUUCCAUAUUAAAGUUAUCAUUUAAGACCAAAGUGUGUAAAUGUGUAAAUGCCUAAAUGACCUGAAAUACCUGUAAAGGUGGGAUUUAGUUUGUUCAGUUUGAGAUUCUAAAUGUAAUGCCUUAAGAUCUCCAGCCUGUGGCCGAAGAUACAAAGGUAAAGAUAUUUUCACAUCCAACUUUACUCAUUACGCUUUACUAAUUUCCACAGAUAUUGGAAUCAAGGAGAAAUUGAAAUAAUGAUGACAGAGGGUCAUCAUUUUGCUCUCCCCUCAGAGUCAGAGAAGAGAACUUGAAUUGCAGCCACAAGAAAUUCUUUUGGCUGUCAUUCAAGUUCUCUGUGUUUAAAUAGGUGUUUUCCAAACCUUUCGGUUUCCUUUUGGCUGUGUGGGCAGCCUCGGGUCCUCGGGGGCUCUGCG